GCCCCCGUGGCUCAGCGGACAGAGCACUGGAUUACGAAUCCAGGGGUCGCGCGUUCGAAUCGCGCCGGGGGCA
Molecule: transfer RNA, 73 nt
Filed under: Micromonospora sediminicola
Lineage: Bacteria; Bacillati; Actinomycetota; Actinomycetes; Micromonosporales; Micromonosporaceae
Also listed under: 4 other names
Description: tRNA_Arg_ACG
Rfam family: tRNA
About the family: Transfer RNA (tRNA) molecules are approximately 80 nucleotides in length. Their secondary structure includes four short double-helical elements and three loops (D, anti-codon, and T loops). Further hydrogen bonds mediate the characteristic L-shaped molecular structure. tRNAs have two regions of fundamental functional importance: the anti-codon, which is responsible for specific mRNA codon recognition, and the 3' end, to which the tRNAs corresponding amino acid is attached (by aminoacyl-tRNA synthetases). tRNAs cope with the degeneracy of the genetic code in two manners: having more than one tRNA (with a specific anti-codon) for a particular amino acid; and 'wobble' base-pairing, i.e. permitting non-standard base-pairing at the 3rd anti-codon position.
Source: RNAcentral